RNAcentral lists this transfer RNA (76 nucleotides) under Cellulomonas sp. 73-92. RNAcentral's name for it is "tRNA-Ala". It matches the Rfam family "tRNA". From Rfam's summary of the family: Transfer RNA (tRNA) molecules are approximately 80 nucleotides in length. Their secondary structure includes four short double-helical elements and three loops (D, anti-codon, and T loops). Lineage: Bacteria; Bacillati; Actinomycetota; Actinomycetes; Micrococcales; Cellulomonadaceae. The record is from RNAcentral.
GGGGCUGUGGCGCAGUUGGUAGCGCGUCUCGUUCGCAACGAGAAGGUCGCCGGUUCGAAUCCGGUCAGCUCCACCG